This 482-nucleotide ribosomal RNA is filed under the name uncultured Candidatus Nitrotoga sp. RNAcentral's name for it is "bacterial SSU rRNA". It matches the Rfam family "Bacterial small subunit ribosomal RNA", at positions 352 to 826 of the family's 1533-position model. Lineage: Bacteria; Pseudomonadati; Pseudomonadota; Betaproteobacteria; Nitrosomonadales; Gallionellaceae. The record is from RNAcentral.
CAGUGGGGAAUUUUGGACAAUGGGCGCAAGCCUGAUCCAGCCAUGCCGCGUGAGUGAAGAUGGCCUUCGGGUUGUAAAGCUCUUUCAGCCGGAAAGAAAACGUACAGGUUAAUAACCUGUGUGGAUGACGGUACCGGAAGAAGAAGCACCGGCUAACUACGUGCCAGCAGCCGCGGUAAUACGUAGGGUGCGAGCGUUAAUCGGAAUUACUGGGCGUAAAGCGUGCGCAGGCGGUUUUGUAAGACAGAUGUGAAAUCCCCGGGCUUAACCUGGGAACUGCAUUUGUGACUGCAAGGCUAGAGUACGGCAGAGGGGGGUAGAAUUCCACGUGUAGCAGUGAAAUGCGUAGAUAUGUGGAGGAAUACCGAUGGCGAAGGCAGCCCCCUGGGUCGAUACUGACGCUCAUGCACGAAAGCGUGGGGAGCAAACAGGAUUAGAUACCCUGGUAGUCCACGCCCUAAACGAUGUCAACUAGGUGUUGG